GGGUUGUGAGGUUAAGCGACUAAGCGUACACGGUGGAUGCCCUGGCAGUCAGAGGCGAUGAAGGACGUGCUAAUCUGCGAUAAGCGUCGGUAAGGUGAUAUGAACCGUUAUAACCGGCGAUUUCCGAAUGGGGAAACCCAGUGUGAUUCGUCACACUAUCAUUAACUGAAUCCAUAGGUUAAUGAGGCGAACCGGGGGAACUGAAACAUCUAAGUACCCCGAGGAAAAGAAAUCAACCGAGAUUCCCCCAGUAGCGGCGAGCGAACGGGGAGCAGCCCAGAGCCUGAAUCAGUGUGUGUGUUAGUGGAAGCGUCUGGAAAGGCGCGCGAUACAGGGUGACAGCCCCGUACACAAAAAUGCACAUGCUGUGAGCUCGAUGAGUAGGGCGGGACACGUGGUAUCCUGUCUGAAUAUGGGGGGACCAUCCUCCAAGGCUAAAUACUCCUGACUGACCGAUAGUGAACCAGUACCGUGAGGGAAA
This 481-nucleotide ribosomal RNA is filed under the name Escherichia coli. RNAcentral's name for it is "partial 23S ribosomal RNA". It matches the Rfam family "Bacterial large subunit ribosomal RNA", at positions 1 to 512 of the family's 2925-position model. The record is from RNAcentral. Lineage: Bacteria; Pseudomonadati; Pseudomonadota; Gammaproteobacteria; Enterobacterales; Enterobacteriaceae.